GCCAGGUGCAGUGGUGCAUGCCUAUAAUCCCAGCAGCUCAGGAGGCUGAGGCAGGAGGAUCACGAGUUCAAAGCCAGUCUCAGCAAAAGCAAGGCACUAAGCAACACUAAGUGAGACCCUGUCUCUA
This 127-nucleotide small RNA is filed under the name Marmota monax (woodchuck). The record is from RNAcentral. Lineage: Eukaryota; Metazoa; Chordata; Mammalia; Rodentia; Sciuridae.